Molecule: ribosomal RNA, 460 nt
Filed under: uncultured bacterium
Lineage: Bacteria
Description: partial 16S ribosomal RNA
Rfam family: Bacterial small subunit ribosomal RNA
Source: RNAcentral
CCUACGGGAGGCAGCAGUGAGGCAUAUUGGUCAAUGGACGAGAGUCUGAACCAGCCAAGUAGCGUGAAGGAUGACUGCCCUAUGGGUUGUAAACUUCUUUUAUAUGGGAAUAAAAUGUUCCACGUGUGGGAUUUUGUAUGUACCAUAUGAAUAAGGAUCGGCUAACUACGUGCCAGCAGCCGCGGUAAUACGGAGGAUCCGAGCGUUAUCCGGAUUUAUUGGGUGUAAAGGGAGCGUAGGUGGAUUGUUAAGUCAGUUGUGAAAGUUUGCGGCUCAACCGUAAAAUUGCAGUUGAAACUGGCAGUCUUGAGUACAGUAGAGGUGGGCGGAAUUCGUGGUGUAGCGGUGAAAUGCUUAGAUAUCACGAAGAACUCCGAUUGCGAAGGCAGUUCACUGGACUGCAACUGACACUGAGGCUCGAAAGUGUGGGUAUCAAACAGGAUUAGAUACCCGAGUAGUC